This is a long non-coding RNA of Daphnia carinata, 906 nucleotides long. RefSeq lists it as uncharacterized. NCBI's taxonomy places the organism in Eukaryota, Metazoa, Arthropoda, Branchiopoda, Diplostraca, Daphniidae. The record is from RefSeq and is a predicted model, not a curated record. The transcript is spliced from 3 exons.
ACUUUAAGAUCUAGCUUGUGAAACUUACAAUGGAAAGAAUGCUAACCGGGAAGAACGUCACCAGUGAUGUGCAUUCUUAGAAUCAGCACACCACUGUCUAAUUCGACUACCCCUUUUCUUGGUCAUCAGAAUCAGCCUUAAUCUGCGCAAUGGAUUGUGCACCCCUUUGGUUGGUUUCCAACGCUUAACCAUUACCAACCAAUACAAGUAGACAAGGGCAUCGAAACAAUCCCUUUUGGUCUGCCAAGCCUUCACCUGCUUCAGCAAAAUACCAGCCCUACAGCUUCUGCAGUCUUCAGACAAUGUCAUAGGCUUUUCGCCUCGUCUUCGCCUCGUCCGUCGCCUCGUCUUCGCCUCGCCCGUCGUCGCCUCGUCUUCGCCUCGCCCGUCGUCGCCUCGCCCGUCGUCGCCUCGUCUUCGCCUCGCCCGUCGUCGCCUCGUGGUUGCCCAUCGCCGUGUCGCCGUCGCAUCCGUUGCUGUGUCGUCGCCUUAUCUUCAUGGUAUCGUUAUAUUUUGUAUUGUAUGUAAUAUGUAAUGUAAUUAACCCGUUGGCUGCCACACAUCUUUGAAUCCCCUUUUUUUUUUAGCUUGACAGGGACGGGCCGCGCUGUUCUGCUCCAUGGCCUAUUUUCCAUGGGGUGGAGCAGCGCCACUGCCCAAGAUUGGCCGAAUGGCCCCAAAGGCAAUGCACCAGAGGGAAUUCCCUUGAUCGAUGCGAUAGAUGAGACCUGGGGUGUGCAUUCCCGUAAAGGUCUCGUCAUCGUGUCAGCCCGGCCCCCCGGCCCCCUUUAUCGCUAUCCCUAAGAUAGCGAUGUAGAAACUGUAGUUAAGAUGGCGUGGCAGCCAACGGGUUAGUUUUAAGUGUAUUUGUGUAUGUAUUUUUGUAUUGUAUGUGUAAUAUGUAUA